Molecule: non-coding RNA, 73 nt
Organism: Sus scrofa (pig)
Lineage: Eukaryota; Metazoa; Chordata; Mammalia; Artiodactyla; Suidae
Source: Rfam
UUCCUGGUGGCUUAGCAGUUAAGUGUUCAGCAUUGUCACUGCUGUGGCUUAGGUUUGAUCCCUGGCCUGGGAA